GACGAACGCUGGCGGCGUGCUUAACACAUGCAAGUCGAACGGUAAGCCUCUUCUUUUGGGAUCUGCUCCAAUCGGGAGCGUAAGACGAAGGCGACAGUACCCUGCCUUUGGCUUAAGUCUAAGUUAUGGAAGCUGAGGCCAAUUCCGCAUAGCUGCUCCCACUGCUGGUUGUGGGUUGGGUUGUUUCGGCGGUUGGGGAUGGCCUCGCGUCUUAUCAGCUUGUUGGUGGGGUAGUGCCUUACCAAGGCGUUGACGGGUAGCCGGCCUGAGAGGGUGACCGGCCACACUGGGACUGAGAUACGGCCCAGACUCCUACGGGAGGCAGCAGUGGGGAAUAUUGCACAAUGGGCGGAAGCCUGAUGCAGCGACGCCGCGUGCGGGAUGACGGCCUUCGGGUUGUAAACCGCUUUCGGCUGGGACGAAGCGUGAGUGACGGUAACGGGUAAAGAAGCACCGGCUAACUACGUG
Molecule: ribosomal RNA, 468 nt
Filed under: uncultured bacterium
Lineage: Bacteria
Description: partial 16S ribosomal RNA
Rfam family: Bacterial small subunit ribosomal RNA
Source: RNAcentral